UGUUAGAAGGUUUUUCAAUUG
Caenorhabditis elegans is the source of this 21-nucleotide non-coding RNA. Lineage: Eukaryota; Metazoa; Nematoda; Chromadorea; Rhabditida; Rhabditidae. The record is from Ensembl.